AACGAACGCUGGCGGCAUGCCUAAUACAUGCAAGUCGAACGAACACUUCGGUGUUAGUGGCGCACGGGUGCGUAACGCGUGGGAAUCUACCCUUGGGUUCGGAAUAACAGUUGGAAACGACUGCUAAUACCGGAUGAUGACGUAAGUCCAAAGAUUUAUCGCCCAAGGAUGAGCCCGCGUAGGAUUAGCUAGUUGGUGGG
This 200-nucleotide ribosomal RNA is filed under the name uncultured bacterium. RNAcentral describes it as "partial 16S ribosomal RNA". It matches the Rfam family "Bacterial small subunit ribosomal RNA", at positions 29 to 256 of the family's 1533-position model. The record is from RNAcentral.